Molecule: ribosomal RNA, 408 nt
Filed under: uncultured bacterium
Lineage: Bacteria
Description: partial 16S ribosomal RNA
Rfam family: Bacterial small subunit ribosomal RNA
Source: RNAcentral
GACGAACGCUGGCGGCGUGCUUAACACAUGCAAGUCGAACGGAGUGGCGAACGGGUGAGUAACACGCGGGUGACCUGCCCUGCAUUUCGGGAUAAGCCUGGGAAACUGGGUCUAAUACCGGAUAGUGUGGGAUGGGGCCGCGGUCUACCAGCUUGUUGGUGGGGUAAUGGCCUACCAAGGCGGCGCCGGGUCGCCGGCCUGAGAGGGUGAACGGCCACAUUGGGAAUGAGGAACGGGCAGGAGGACUACGGGAGGCAGCAGUGGGGAAUAUAGCGCGAUAGGCGGAAGGAUGAUGCAGCGACGCCGGGUGGGGAAGGACGGCCAUCGGGUAGUAAACUCCUUACGCCAUCAACGCGGUAAAUAGAGAAGAAGCACCGGCUAACUACGUGCCAGCAGCCGCGGUAAUAC